GACCAUUGCAAAGACGCUGCCGAGUGAAGCUGGAUACUUCCUGUCCUCAUCCGGACCCCGAUAUCUGGUUGUGGGGCAGCUGUCGCGCUUACCACCCAUUUCCCAGGAUCAGAGUUUUGUGUCUUUGCAGAACCAUGGGCAGCAAGAAGAAGGAAAGUGCCCUACAGGUCAACAUCAACACCCAGGAGCUUUGGGAGGAAAUGCUCGGCUCCAAAGGACUGACUGUUGUGGACGUCUACCAGGGCUGGUGUGGCCCCUGCAAACCUGUGGUUAGUCUCUUCCAGAAGAUGAGGAUCGAGGCUGGUUUGGACCUUCUCCAUUUUGCUUUGGCAGAGGCAGACUGUCUCGAUGUUCUGGAAAAAUACCGAGGGAAGUGCGAGCCAACCUUUCUGUUCUAUGCAGGAGGAGAGCUGGUGGCUGUGGUGAAGGGGGCCAAUGCUCCCCUGCUUCGGAAGACCAUCUUACACCAGCUGGAGGUGGAGAAGAAGGUUCUGGCUGAAGGCAGGGAACGGAAUGUGGUUACUGACGAGGCUCUUUCUGGUGCAGCCAAGUGUCCUCCCCGAGAAAAGGAUGGCGGUGAUGGCGGUGAAGAUGUUGACAUAGGCAUAGUGCCAUCAGAGAAGAAGGCCUGUACAUUAGGCAUCAUUAAGCCCGACGCAGUGGCCCACGGGAAGGCUGACGAGAUCAUCAUGAAGAUCCAGGAAGCAGGAUUUGACAUCCUAUCAAACGAAGAGAGAACCCUGACAGAGGCAGAAAUGCAAGUGUUCUAUCAACACAGAGCUGGGCAGGAGGCGUUUGAGAAGCUAGUCCAUCACAUGUGCAGUGGACCCAGCCACCUCCUGAUCCUCACCAAGACCGAGGGCACCGAGGAUGUAGUCGCUGCUUGGCGAGACUUCCUGGGGCCUUGUGACCCCAGUGUGGCCAGGAGGGAACACCCUGAAAGGAAGGGAGCCUAGUCGCCAGAAGUGGAGCUGGAAGCCAGAGCUGCUUUUUUAAAGGGAGAGAGACCAUGCCCCAAUGGGCUAUCUCAGCGGCUAUUGGCUGAAGGUGCGGAAGGAGCUCCCGCAACAGCCCAUGGACAGACAACAGGAAAGAACUUCACUAACAGCUAAAGCCCGAGAGCUGUCCCUUGCAGUCGUAAGGGGCAAGGGCAUCUAACUGAGGCUAAGUAAAGCAGUGGGGGGCUCAGAUCUUAGGUCACCACCUAAUGGGCAAGUCCCUAAAUUGGCUUCAGUUCCUAGGCUGUAAAGUGGGGACAUCCAUGAUCACAGAGGACACAGGCAUGUAGAGCUGUGCUCAGCACAUGGGUCCGACCCAGCACUGUCAGUGUUACAGUUCUUAUCAAAGUUAGUCGUGACACACGGUGUGGUGCAAGCCCUAGGCAGACACCCAACAGUGGGACCUGUAGUCUCCCUCUGGGCAAUGGUUAAAAAAAAAAAAAAAAAAAAAGCCAGGUCCUGUGUGUAAUGCCCCUGGCCAGCAGCUGCUGGCAUGGUUGCUGUUCUUGGAUUCUCCACAAAGAGCAAGCACCCUCAUGCUGAUUGGUAGCUGGUGGUCCUGUUACCAGAGAGCAAAACAUUUCUUUUCGAGUGAAGCAAUUGUUUCUUUCCCAUUGUACCCCCGCUCCCAGUCUCCGGGCUCAGUAUGGCACAGAAAUGCCCUUUAACGCUGUGCAUGGAAGCCGGGACAGAGACGAUGCCAACAGAGAGCUGGCCCUGCUCUUUCCCAGCUUCAGGUUUUCAGAUAAAGACACGGAAGCCCCACAGGGUGCUGAGGCUC
Alexandromys fortis (reed vole) is the source of this 1779-nucleotide RNA transcript. It is a transcript of the gene named NME/NM23 family member 9, with no coding region annotated. Lineage: Eukaryota; Metazoa; Chordata; Mammalia; Rodentia; Cricetidae. The record is from RefSeq and is a predicted model, not a curated record. The transcript is spliced from 12 exons.